Molecule: ribosomal RNA, 252 nt
Filed under: uncultured bacterium
Lineage: Bacteria
Description: partial 16S ribosomal RNA
Rfam family: Bacterial small subunit ribosomal RNA
Source: RNAcentral
UACAGAGGGUGCUAGCGUUGUUCGGAAUCAUUGGGCGUAAAGGGCGUGUAGGCGGUUUGUUAAGUCAUGUGUGAAAGCCCCCGGCUCAACCGGGGAACGACGCAUGAAACUGGCAGCUAGAGUACCGAAGAGGGGGGUGGAAUUCCCGGUGUAGCGGUGAAAUGCGUAGAUAUUCGGAGGAACACCAGUGGCGAAGGCGGCUCACUGGCUCGGUACUGACGCUGAGGUGCGAAAGCGUGGGGAGCAAACAGG